UUGUCCUAGGGGGGCAGCAGUGAGGAAUAUUGGUCAAUGGCCGAGAGGCUGAACCAGCCAAGUCGCGUGAGGGAUGACGGCCCUAUGGGUUGUAAACCUCUUUUGUCGGGGAGCAAGACCCGCCACGAGUGGCGGAGCGAGAGUACCCGAAGAAAAAGCAUCGGCUAACUCCGUGCCAGCAGCCGCGGUAAUACGGAGGAUGCGAGCGUUAUCCGGAUUUAUUGGGUUUAAAGGGUGCGCAGGCGGACCAUCAAGUCAGCGGUAAAAUCGUGGGGCCCAACCCCAUCCCGCCGUUGAAACUGUCG
RNAcentral lists this ribosomal RNA (305 nucleotides) under uncultured bacterium. RNAcentral describes it as "bacterial SSU rRNA". It matches the Rfam family "Bacterial small subunit ribosomal RNA", at positions 334 to 638 of the family's 1533-position model. The record is from RNAcentral.